AGAGUUUGAUCCUGGCUCAGAUCGAACGCUGGCGGCAUGCCUAACACAUGCAAGUCGAACGCCAUCCUCUGGAUGGAGUGGCGCACGGGUGAGUAACGCGUGGGAACCUGCCUUUUUCUGCNGGACAACGAUUGGAAACAAUCGCUAAUACCGNAUACGCCCUACGGGGGAAAGGUCCGCCGGAGAGAGAGGGGCCUGCGUUUGAUUAGNUNGUUGGUGAGGUAAUGGCUCACCAAAGCGACGAUCAAUAGCUGGUCUGAGAGGAUGAUCAGCCACACUGGGACUGAGACACGGCCCAGACUCCUACGGGAGGCAGCAGUGGGGAAUAUUGGACAAUGGGGGCAACCCUGAUCCAGCAAUGCCGCGUGUGUGAUGAAGGCCUUAGGGUUGUAAAGCACUUUCACUGGCGAAUAUGAUGACGGUAACCAGAGAAGAAGCCCCGGCUAACUUCGUGCCAGCAGCCGCGGUAAUACGAAGGGGGCGAGCGUUGUUCGGAAUUACUGGGCGUAAA
RNAcentral lists this ribosomal RNA (511 nucleotides) under uncultured Alphaproteobacteria bacterium. Its description in RNAcentral is "bacterial SSU rRNA". It matches the Rfam family "Bacterial small subunit ribosomal RNA", at positions 8 to 564 of the family's 1533-position model. Lineage: Bacteria; Pseudomonadati; Pseudomonadota; Alphaproteobacteria. The record is from RNAcentral.